Molecule: ribosomal RNA, 492 nt
Filed under: uncultured bacterium
Lineage: Bacteria
Description: partial 16S ribosomal RNA
Rfam family: Bacterial small subunit ribosomal RNA
Source: RNAcentral
AGUGAACGCUGGCGGCAGGCCUAACACAUGCAAGUCGAACGGCAGCACCGUAAGAGCUUGCUCUUACGGGUGGCGCGUGGCGGACGGGUGAGGAAUACAUCGGAGUCUACUUUUUCGUGGGGGAUAACGUAGGGAAACUUACGCUAAUACCGCACACGACCUACGGGUGAAAGCAGGGGAUCUUCGUACCUUGCGCGAUUGAAUGAGCCGAGGUCGGAUUAGCUAGCUGGCUGGGUAAAGGCCCACCAAGGCGACGAUCCGUAGCUGGUCUGAGAGGAUGAGGAGGCCGGCCGGAACGGAGACACGGUCCAGACCCGUACGGGAGGCGGGGGUGGGGUAUAUUGUACUAUGGGAGGAAGGCUGACCCAGCCAUACCGCGUGGGUGAAGAAGGCCUUCGGGUCGUGAAGCCCUUUUGUUGGGAAAGAAAAGCAGCAGGUGUAUGCGCGGUUGUGCUGACGGUACCCGAAGAUUAAGCACCGGCUAACUUCGUG